UGCAAAGCCGGGUCUCUUUGGAGAGGCUUGGCAGAGCCGUGGCUGCCUUCCUUUCAUUUGCUCCCUUUUCUGCAGUUCUAUCUGAGGACCUUUGGGUCACCUGCCUGCGGCAAGCUGCCUGCUGCAGAGGGAGCUGGCGUGGAGGAGCUGGGAAAUGAGGUGGCUGUGCAAACUCGGGCUUCAGAGGUGCCAAGAGAUCACUCGGAGGGAAUGUACUGAGCUGUGAGGACGGGCGAGCCCGGGAAAACAAUUCGACAACAAUGCCGAGCGCCUAGCUUUCAUCAUCGGCUUGCUGGGUUCCGAGUGUAGUCUGCCACCUAAUCAUAAACAGAGGCUCGCGCUGCCAUCUGGCAGCAAGGCGUGUGUGUGCUGCUGUCGGCUGGGACUUGGGGCCCAUCCUAUGUGAGGUGUCCUCCAUCACAGACACAGAGUCAGGCGCUGGGCCCCAGGAGGUCACUGUGGUGAAGGACGGCACAACUCACCUCUUCCACCACGAAAAAAUCAGAGAUGAUGGCGCUGGCAGCUUCCAUGUCUAGCCCAGCAAGCAGGCCAGAGAGGAGAUGAAAUCUUAGUUCAACAAAAC
This 583-nucleotide long non-coding RNA is filed under the name Homo sapiens (human). RNAcentral's name for it is "HSALNT0001472". Lineage: Eukaryota; Metazoa; Chordata; Mammalia; Primates; Hominidae. The record is from RNAcentral.